CCUACGGGAGGCAGCAGUGGGGAAUAUUGGACAAAUGGGCGCAAGCACUGAUCCAGCCAUACCGCGUGGGUGAAGAAGGCCUUCGGGUUGUAAAGCCCUUGUUGGGAAAGAAAUCCCAGCCGGUUAAUACCAUGGUUGGGAUGACGGUACCCAAAGAAUAAGCACCGGCUAACUUCGUGCCAGCAGCCGCGGUAAUACGAAGGGUGCAAGCGUUACUCGGAAUUACUGGGCGUAAAGCGUG
This 241-nucleotide ribosomal RNA is filed under the name uncultured bacterium. RNAcentral's name for it is "partial 16S ribosomal RNA". It matches the Rfam family "Bacterial small subunit ribosomal RNA", at positions 338 to 569 of the family's 1533-position model. The record is from RNAcentral.